This 885-nucleotide ribosomal RNA is filed under the name uncultured cyanobacterium. Its description in RNAcentral is "bacterial SSU rRNA". It matches the Rfam family "Bacterial small subunit ribosomal RNA", at positions 41 to 966 of the family's 1533-position model. Lineage: Bacteria; Bacillati; Cyanobacteriota. The record is from RNAcentral.
GGCUUGCUUCACACAUGCAAGUCGAACGAGGUAGCAAUACCUAGUGGCGGACGGGUGAGUAACGCGUGGGAAUCUGCCUUAAGAUGGGGGAUAACGGGCCGAAAGGCUCGCUAAUACCGCAUAUGCCGAAAGGUGAAAGGAGUAAUCCGUCUUAAGAUGAGCCCGCGUCCGAUUAGCUAGUUGGUAGGGUAAAGGCCUACCAAGGCGACGAUCGGUAGCUGGUCUGAGAGGAUGAUCAGCCACAAUGGGACUGAGACACGGCCCAUACUCCUACGGGAGGCAGCAGUGGGGAAUUUUACGCAAUGGGGGAAACCCUGACGUAGCGACACCGCGUGAGCGAAGAAGCCCCUUGGGGUGUAAAGCUCUGUCAGCUGGAACGAAAAAAAUGACGGUACCAGCAGAGGAAGCAUCGGCUAACUACGUGCCAGCAGCCGCGGUAAGACGUAGGAUGCGAGCGUUGUCCGGAUUUAUUGGGCGUAAAGAGUUCGUAGGUGGUUUGUCAAGUCUGAUGUUAAAGAUCGGGGCUCAACCCUGGGACUGCAUUGGAUACUGGCAGACUUGAGUGUGGUAGAGGCUAGUGGAAUUCCCAGUGUAGCGGUGAAAUGCGUAGAUAUUGGGAAGAACACCGGUGGCGUAGGCGACUAGCUGGGCCAUAACUGACACUGAGGAACGAAAGCCAGGGUAGCGAAUGGGAUUAGAUACCCCAGUAGUCCUGGCCGUAAACGAUGGAUACUAGGCGUAUCGGGUAUCGACCCCUGAUGUGCCGCAGCUAACGCGAUAAGUAUCCCGCCUGAGUAGUACGGCCGCAAGGUUGAAACUCAAAGGAAUUGACGGGGGCCCGCACAAGCGGUGGAACAUGUGGUUUUAAUUCGAAGCAACGCGAAG